AUUGAACGCUGGCGGCAUGCUUUACACAUGCAAGUCGAACGGUAACAGGCCUUCGGGUGCUGACGAGUGGCGAACGGGUGAGUAAUGCAUCGGAACGUGCCCAGAGGUGGGGGAUAACGCAGCGAAAGCUGUGCUAAUACCGCAUGUGAUCUGAGGAUGAAAGCGGGGGACCAGGCAGCAAUGUUUGUCCUCGCGCCUUUGGAGCGGCCGAUGUCAGAUUAGGUAGUUGGUGGGGUAAAGGCCUACCAAGCCGACGAUCUGUAGCUGGUCUGAGAGGACGACCAGCCACACUGGGACUGAGACACGGCCCAGACUCCUACGGGAGGCAGCAGUGGGGAAUUUUGGACAAUGGGCGCAAGCCUGAUCCAGCAAUGCCGCGUGCGGGAAGAAGGCCUUCGGGUUGUAAACCGCUUUUGUACGGAACGAAAAGGCUCUGGCUAAUACCUGGGGCUGAUGACGGUACCGUAAGAAUAAGCACCGGCUAACUACGUG
RNAcentral lists this ribosomal RNA (492 nucleotides) under uncultured bacterium. RNAcentral's name for it is "partial 16S ribosomal RNA". It matches the Rfam family "Bacterial small subunit ribosomal RNA", at positions 30 to 507 of the family's 1533-position model. The record is from RNAcentral.